RNAcentral lists this ribosomal RNA (529 nucleotides) under soil fungal sp. DM2-351. RNAcentral describes it as "eukaryotic LSU rRNA". It matches the Rfam family "Eukaryotic large subunit ribosomal RNA", at positions 113 to 657 of the family's 3401-position model. The record is from RNAcentral. Lineage: Eukaryota; Fungi.
AUUUGAAAUCUGGCCCCCUUGGGGUCCGAGUUGUAAUUUGCAGAGGAUGCUUCGGGUGCGGUCCCCGUCUAAGUGCCCUGGAACGGGCCGUCAUAGAGGGUGAGAAUCCCGUCUGGGAUGGGCGGCCGCGCCCGUGUGAAGCUCCUUCGACGAGUCGAGUUGUUUGGGAAUGCAGCUCUAAGCGGGUGGUAAAUUUCAUCUAAAGCUAAAUACUGGCCGGAGACCGAUAGCGCACAAGUAGAGUGAUCGAAAGAUGAAAAGCACUUUGAAAAGAGAGUUAAACAGCACGUGAAAUUGUUGAAAGGGAAGCGUUGUCCACCAGACUCGCCCGGGGGGGUUCAGCCGGCACGUGUGCCGGUGUACUCCUCUCCGGGCGGGCCAGCAUCGGUUUGGGCGGCUGGUGAAAGGCCCCGGGAAUGUAACACCCUCCGGGGUGCCUUAUAGCCCGGGGUGCCAUACAGCCAGCCUGGACCGAGGCCCGCGCUUCGGCGAGGAUGCUGGCGUAAUGGUGGUCAACGGCCCGUCUUGA